Gorilla gorilla gorilla (western lowland gorilla) is the source of this 1191-nucleotide long non-coding RNA. RefSeq lists it as uncharacterized. NCBI's taxonomy places the organism in Eukaryota, Metazoa, Chordata, Mammalia, Primates, Hominidae. The record is from RefSeq and is a predicted model, not a curated record. The transcript has 4 exons.
CUAUGUUGGCUAGGCUGGUCUCAAACUCCUGACCUCAUGAUCUGCCCACCUCGGCCUCCCAAAUUGCUGGGAUUACAGGUGUGAGCCACCACGUCUGGCCCAAUGACUAGUGUUUUUAUGAGAAAGGAGAGGAUUUGGAUACAGACACACUGGGAAGAAGGCAAUGAGAUGAUGGAGGCAGAGGUUGGGGUGAUGCAGCCAUAAGGAACAGCAGGAGCUGCCCGAAGAGGCGAGAAAGGAUUCUUCCUGAGAACCGUGGCCCUGCCAGCACCUUGCCUUUGGAUUUCUAGCCUCCAGAACUGUGAGAGAAUACAUACUGAAGCCACCCAGCUUGUGAUAAAUUGUUGCAGCAACCCUAGGAAACUGACCACUGGAAAGGUGCUGGGUAGGUCACAGAAUUGAGGGCAGAGCUGAAGAAUGGGGCGCAGGAACGAGGACACUUCUGAGGAGCUCAGCAGCAGAAGCUUGUGGACUCAACGCGGCCAUCCAGGCGACCUGCUACAGUGGCCCUUUAGCUUGUGUAGCUUGCGCAAGAGCCUAUCUCUCAGGAGAGACUCUAACCCAGCUUAUCUCAUUCCUUUCCCAGCAGCUUGUUUGGAACACAUGGAGUGGAGGAUGGAUAAUUUCCCAAAGGAAGAGACAGCAGUCAAAUAAAAACAACAGUAUAAGAAUAUCAGUUUGGAACCCAGUUAGGAUUAACAAGCCAUCUUUUUACUUGUGAAAAACUGAAACACCUGGAAAAAAAAAAGACAAGACAAUAAUUAUGAAACAAAGUGUGCAAAUCUCUCAACUUUAUAUAUAGGGAGAAGAACAAUAAAUGAUUGACAAUUGGGUUGAUAAGAUUUACAGCUAUGAAUAAGAGCAUUACAUCAAGACUUUGGGUUUAAAAAAUUUUUUGGAUGAGAGGAGGCUGGAUGUUCCUGGCUCCUGGGGCAUGGGACUGUGUCAUUCCUUUCAACUGACAACUUUGAAAAGAAGACUAUAAAUGCCUUGAGAGCAGGGACCUUAUAUUCCUGGGACCUCAAACUAUGCAGAAAGGAAGGGAUCAAAUGAAUUUGUUGAAUUUGAUUAAAGCUGAGUAGGAGUUAACAAAUUGAACAGAAGAAGAUGGUUCCAAGGAGAAGGAAGAGCAUGGCAGAGGCCCUAAAGCAGGAGUGAGCGUCUCUGUCCUCAACAUGAGGAAUGACAGAA